UUAAGCGACUAAGCGUACACGGUGGAUGCCCUGGCAGUCAGAGGCGAUGAAGGACGUGCUAAUCUGCGAUAAGCGUCGGUAAGGUGAUAUGAACCGUUAUAACCGGCGAUUUCCGAAUGGGGAAACCCAGUGUGUUUCGACACACUAUCAUUAACUGAAUCCAUAGGUUAAUGAGGCGAACCGGGGGAACUGAAACAUCUAAGUACCCCGAGGAAAAGAAAUCAACCGAGAUUCCCCCAGUAGCGGCGAGCGAACGGGGAGCAGCCCAGAGCCUGAAUCAGUGUGUGUGUUAGUGGAAGCGUCUGGAAAGGCGCGCGAUACAGGGUGACAGCCCCGUACACAAAAAUGCACAUGCUGUGAGCUCGAUGAGUAGGGCGGGACACGUGGUAUCCUGUCUGAAUAUGGGGGGACCAUCCUCCAAGGCUAAAUACUCCUGACUGACCGAUAGUGAACCAGUACCGUGAGGGAAAGGCGAAAAGAACCCCGGCGAGGGGAGUGAAAAAGAACCUGAAACCGUGUACGUACAAGCAGUGGGAGCACGCUUAGGCGUGUGACUGCGUACCUUUUGUAUAAUGGGUCAGCGACUUAUAUUCUGUAGCAAGGUUAACCGAAUAGGGGAGCCGAAGGGAAACCGAGUCUUAACUGGGCGUUAAGUUGCAGGGUAUAGACCCGAAACCCGGUGAUCUAGCCAUGGGCAGGUUGAAGGUUGGGUAACACUAACUGGAGGACCGAACCGACUAAUGUUGAAAAAUUAGCGGAUGACUUGUGGCUGGGGGUGAAAGGCCAAUCAAACCGGGAGAUAGCUGGUUCUCCCCGAAAGCUAUUUAGGUAGCGCCUCGUGAAUUCAUCUCCGGGGGUAGAGCACUGUUUCGGCAAGGGGGUCAUCCCGACUUACCAACCCGAUGCAAACUGCGAAUACCGGAGAAUGUUAUCACGGGAGACACACGGCGGGUGCUAACGUCCGUCGUGAAGAGGGAAACAACCCAGACCGCCAGCUAAGGUCCCAAAGUCAUGGUUAAGUGGGAAACGAUGUGGGAAGGCCCAGACAGCCAGGAUGUUGGCUUAGAAGCAGCCAUCAUUUAAAGAAAGCGUAAUAGCUCACUGGUCGAGUCGGCCUGCGCGGAAGAUGUAACGGGGCUAAACCAUGCACCGAAGCUGCGGCAGCGACACUAUGUGUUGUUGGGUAGGGGAGCGUUCUGUAAGCCUGUGAAGGUGUACUGUGAGGUAUGCUGGAGGUAUCAGAAGUGCGAAUGCUGACAUAAGUAACGAUAAAGCGGGUGAAAAGCCCGCUCGCCGGAAGACCAAGGGUUCCUGUCCAACGUUAAUCGGGGCAGGGUGAGUCGACCCCUAAGGCGAGGCCGAAAGGCGUAGUCGAUGGGAAACAGGUUAAUAUUCCUGUACUUGGUGUUACUGCGAAGGGGGGACGGAGAAGGCUAUGUUGGCCGGGCGACGGUUGUCCCGGUUUAAGCGUGUAGGCUGGUUUUCCAGGCAAAUCCGGAAAAUCAAGGCUGAGGCGUGAUGACGAGGCACUACGGUGCUGAAGCAACAAAUGCCCUGCUUCCAGGAAAAGCCUCUAAGCAUCAGGUAACAUCAAAUCGUACCCCAAACCGACACAGGUGGUCAGGUAGAGAAUACCAAGGCGCUUGAGAGAACUCGGGUGAAGGAACUAGGCAAAAUGGUGCCGUAACUUCGGGAGAAGGCACGCUGAUAUGUAGGUGAAGUCCCUCGCGGAUGGAGCUGAAAUCAGUCGAAGAUACCAGCUGGCUGCAACUGUUUAUUAAAAACACAGCACUGUGCAAACACGAAAGUGGACGUAUACGGUGUGACGCCUGCCCGGUGCCGGAAGGUUAAUUGAUGGGGUCAGCGCAAGCGAAGCUCUUGAUCGAAGCCCCGGUAAACGGCGGCCGUAACUAUAACGGUCCUAAGGUAGCGAAAUUCCUUGUCGGGUAAGUUCCGACCUGCACGAAUGGCGUAAUGAUGGCCAGGCUGUCUCCACCCGAGACUCAGUGAAAUUGAACUCGCUGUGAAGAUGCAGUGUACCCGCGGCAAGACGGAAAGACCCCGUGAACCUUUACUAUAGCUUGACACUGAACAUUGAGCCUUGAUGUGUAGGAUAGGUGGGAGGCUUUGAAGUGUGGACGCCAGUCUGCAUGGAGCCGACCUUGAAAUACCACCCUUUAAUGUUUGAUGUUCUAACGUGGACCCGUAAUCCGGGUUGCGGACAGUGUCUGGUGGGUAGUUUGACUGGGGCGGUCUCCUCCUAAAGAGUAACGGAGGAGCACGAAGGUUGGCUAAUCCUGGUCGGACAUCAGGAGGUUAGUGCAAUGGCAUAAGCCAGCUUGACUGCGAGCGUGACGGCGCGAGCAGGUGCGAAAGCAGGUCAUAGUGAUCCGGUGGUUCUGAAUGGAAGGGCCAUCGCUCAACGGAUAAAAGGUACUCCGGGGAUAACAGGCUGAUACCGCCCAAGAGUUCAUAUCGACGGCGGUGUUUGGCACCUCGAUGUCGGCUCAUCACAUCCUGGGGCUGAAGUAGGUCCCAAGGGUAUGGCUGUUCGCCAUUUAAAGUGGUACGCGAGCUGGGUUUAGAACGUCGUGAGACAGUUCGGUCCCUAUCUGCCGUGGGCGCUGGAGAACUGAGGGGGGCUGCUCCUAGUACGAGAGGACCGGAGUGGACGCAUCACUGGUGUUCGGGUUGUCAUGCCAAUGGCACUGCCCGGUAGCUAAAUGCGGAAGAGAUAAGUGCUGAAAGCAUCUAAGCACGAAACUUGCCCCGAGAUGAGUUCUCCCUGACUCCUUGAGAGUCCUGAAGGAACGUUGAAGACGACGACGUUGAUAGGCCGGGUGUGUAAGCGCAGCGAUGCGUUGAGCUAACCGGUACUAAUGAACCGUGAGGCUUAACCUU
This 2901-nucleotide ribosomal RNA is filed under the name metagenome. RNAcentral describes it as "bacterial LSU rRNA". It matches the Rfam family "Bacterial large subunit ribosomal RNA". The record is from RNAcentral.